UACGGGAGGCAGCAGUGGGGAAUAUUGCACAAUGGGCGCAAGCCUGAUGCAGCCAUGCCGCGUGUAUGAAGAAGGCCUUCGGGUUGUAAAGUACUUUCAGUCGUGAGGAAGGUGUUAAGGUUAAUAACCUUAGCAAUUGACGUUAGCGACAGAAGAAGCACCGGCUAACUCCGUGCCAGCAGCCGCGGUAAUACGGAGGGUGCGAGCGUUAAUCGGAAUUACUGGGCGUAAAGGGCACGCAGGCGGUUAAUUAAGUUGGAUGUGAAAUCUCCGGGCUUAACCUGGGAAUGGCAUUCAAGACUGGUUAGCUAGAGUCUUGUAGAGGGGGUAGAAUUCCAUGUGUAGCGGUGAAAUGCGUAGAGAUGUGGAGGAAUACCGGGUGGCGAAGGCGGCCCCUGGGACAAAGACUGACGCUCAUGUGCGAAAGCGUGGGGAGCAAACAGGAUUAGAUACC
RNAcentral lists this ribosomal RNA (454 nucleotides) under uncultured bacterium. RNAcentral's name for it is "bacterial SSU rRNA". It matches the Rfam family "Bacterial small subunit ribosomal RNA", at positions 340 to 786 of the family's 1533-position model. The record is from RNAcentral.